UACACUGAUUAGUAAUCAGUGACAUUUGGCACUACUUUUAGACUUUAUCAAUUUCAUACACACAUCUUACCCAGAGCUCUCUACAUAUUCCAAGCCAGUAAACAAUCAAAUUAAUAUUUCAUUUACUGUUUCAGUACAGAGAAGGCACAAAAAUUUAUGAGACUGAAAUUUUGUUUCAGUGUGUAAAACACACAUGGAAAGGGCACACACAUUCUGUAGUAUAAUAAAUGGAAUUGGACUCAUUCCCAACAAAAUUAAAGUACGGUUGUGUUCUACAAGGUAUCUCGAAACUUUACCAUCAAGUUCCCCACCCAGCCAUCAGCUAAAUAUGUUUUAAACCUGAAAAGUACUGCUCUUUUAAUUUGAUAAGAGUAAAGCAUAAUAUUACAGACGACGACUAAAGCCUUACUGACAAACUUUAACACAAGGAAAUAGUGCUGCAAAGGAAUAAGCAAAUGGGCGCUAUGACCAAAAUCAACAUUGCCUGUGAAACUGACUGAGACUGAAUUGGAUGAAAAGGAGAGUCCCUCGUCUGCCCAUGCAUAAUCUCUCAGAAGACCAACCCCUCAUCCCAGCUGUGGGAGACGAGCAACACUGCAAAGUAGGGGAUGACCUACAGGGGUGAAGUACAGCGGGAACUUCGAGUGUAGCUGCACGUGUGUGAGCGCACAGUGUUGAGUGCAAUCUGUAUAGCUCUGUGUCAAUUUUACUUCAUUCUUCAUUUAUAUUUUAGUUACAUAAAUUACAAUUUAUAUUAUAAAAUGGGUGACACACAAAAAUGAUUAAUAAUAAUAAUAAUAAUAAUAAUAAUAAUAAUAACAGUAGACAAAGUGUUAUG
This is a long non-coding RNA of Schistocerca nitens (vagrant locust), 838 nucleotides long. RefSeq lists it as uncharacterized. The transcript has 3 exons. NCBI's taxonomy places the organism in Eukaryota, Metazoa, Arthropoda, Insecta, Orthoptera, Acrididae. The record is from RefSeq and is a predicted model, not a curated record.